GGAGAGCAGAGCGGAGUGCGGCGGCUCGCCCGCUGCCUGACCCCGCCGCCCGGGGAAGAGGGGUUUUUUCAGUGUUCUGAAGCUGGCAUGGGAGGACAUCAUACUGAAGAACCUGUUAAUUUUCAGCAAUACCGAAAUGUUCCUGCUGGAGUCUUUAAUGUUAUAAAGAGCUCUGUGGUUUUCUGCUUUGGCUAUUUUUAAAGUUUUCUAUGCCUACCUUUCCAUCUUAAUGACAUGCCAGGAGAGCACUUCACAUUCCAACAAAGGCAAUGAACUUUUUGAGUGCAAGCAGGUGGCUUUUGGAAAACUUUGUAGAAGAGAUUUAGUGCUGAAUUUUCUUCUUUUCAUGUUCCUUAAUGCAGUGUGAUAAGUUAGAACACUGUACUCAUAUUCUGUGGGCCUGAACAGCUGACAAUAUAAAAUACCUGACCCAAAACUUUUUCUCAAGGAGCAAGGUCAGUACCUAAAAAAACAGGAAAUCCUUGGGAAAAGCAAGUACAUUGUUAUAAGGUUGAAUAAUACCUUAUUAUUUGCCUUAUUUAUAUAUAAAUAUAUGUAAUAAUAAUACCUUAUUUGCCUCCGCAUAACUCUGAGGCAAAAUGGAAGGAGAUAUGAGGGGAGUUAUAAAAGCUUAGCUUAUCUCAGGCUUGGAGUAAGGAGGGAGGAGUUUGCUGUAGAGAAACACAGACAUUUAAAGGGAAGUGGUGAGAAAGAGACAUUACUAUGUGUACAGCAUAUACUACAUAAGAGAAAGUCUGAAAGGAAAGCUAACCUCAAGCUAGACUGCUCUUUUUUUCCCCUCUAAGUUACAAAAUGAAGUGAUGAUUUUAAUUGUAUUUUGUUUUCCUUCCAUAAAUAAACAGGAGAAUCAACAGUGGCUAUGUGGGAACAUUAAAAUGCCAUCUGGAAGUGGUGCUGUUGUGCCUUCGGCUAAAGUUUUCAUGAUAAGUUAACACUGCUUUCGAAAGAUUCAGCGUCUCUUCUUCUCGCUACCUGUUGUCUUUGUUAGUGCUAGCCUUAACAUGGCUGUGUGAGGAAUUGAGUCAAAGAACUGAUCUGAGCUAAAAUGACAUGGCAAAGAUAUUAAUGGUUGGGUUUUGACCCAGAACAAUUUCCUGAUUCAUUCCACUGUGCCUGUCCUCUCAUGUACGAAGGGUUGGCUUUAGGGUGUGAGUGGUGGAAAAGGGUAGGCUACUUCUACUGCCAAUGCCAGCUUAUAGAAUAUUAAGGUGAUUGUGAAAUUACAGUCUUAACCAAGAAACACUUCUUACCCCGUAUUUUCAUCAUAUCUUUGAAACAUGUUCGGUGGGUUUUAUUUCAGAUCUUAAUGUUAAAUAUACAGUGAGUUCUAUAAUCACCUGGAAGGAGCUUCUAUGGUCUGUUUAGUAAGUACCUAAUUCCAGAUGAUGGUAAAUAUAUUGUUGGUACUGCAAUUUGCAACAGGCCCCUCUUAACCAUUUCAGAAGGUUUCUUAAAUACAUUGAGCAUUUAAAUGUUGUUCUUCUCUUUUACCAUUCAUAUGGAACUGCUAAGUAUUUGCAGUUGAGUCCUUUUUAAACAUGGUAUUUUGGCUUUUUAUGCCUAGUGUGCUUUUCUAGUAGCGUGUCUUCAAGAAAUGGUGUGAAGUGGUUUGUUUGCAUCUAUUUUCUAUUGUUUCUUACUAUUGUUGUCUUCUGUUACAUGUCAGGCUAUGUAACGCUCUUUAGUUCAGGACUGUGGAUCUGUUUUGAAUUAACUUAUUCUCAGUGGUGUCAAUAAACUUUGCUUCUGUCCCCUAA
Long non-coding RNA from Strigops habroptila (Kakapo), 1778 nucleotides. The record is from Ensembl. Lineage: Eukaryota; Metazoa; Chordata; Aves; Psittaciformes; Psittacidae.